GGGAUUAGAUACCCCACUAUGCUUAGCCUUAAACCUAGAUGUUAAAUUUACAAGCAACAUCCGCCAGGGUACUACAAGCGCUAGCUUAAAACCCAAAGGACUUGACGGUGUCUCAGACCCACCUAGAGGAGCCUGUUCUAAAACCGAUAAUCCCCGUUAAACCUCACCACCCCUUGUUUAACCAGCCUAUAUACCGCCGUCGCAAGCUUACCCUGUGAAGGUCCCAUAGUAAGCAAAAUGGGUAUAUCCCAGAACGUCAGGUCGAGGUGUAGCUUAUGAGGUGGGAAGAAAUAGGCUACAUUUUCUACAUCAGAAUAAAACGAACAGCACUAUGAAAUUAGAGCUCGAAGGUGGAUUUAGUAGUAAAAAACAAAUAGAGAGUCUUUUUGAAAUAGGCUCUGAGACGCGUACACACCGCCCC
Molecule: ribosomal RNA, 421 nt
Filed under: Creagrutus affinis
Lineage: Eukaryota; Metazoa; Chordata; Actinopteri; Characiformes; Stevardiidae
Description: partial 12S ribosomal RNA
Rfam family: Bacterial small subunit ribosomal RNA
Source: RNAcentral